RNAcentral lists this ribosomal RNA (472 nucleotides) under Duganella sp. Its description in RNAcentral is "bacterial SSU rRNA". It matches the Rfam family "Bacterial small subunit ribosomal RNA", at positions 391 to 856 of the family's 1533-position model. Lineage: Bacteria; Pseudomonadati; Pseudomonadota; Betaproteobacteria; Burkholderiales; Oxalobacteraceae. The record is from RNAcentral.
GCAAUGCCGCGUGAGUGAAGAAGGCCUUCGGGUUGUAAAGCUCUUUUGUCAGGGAAGAAAAGGGAUUGGCUAAUAUCUGAUCCUCAUGACGGUACCUGAAGAAUAAGCACCGGCUAACUACGUGCCAGCAGCCGCGGUAAUACGUAGGGUGCAAGCGUUAAUCGGAAUUACUGGGCGUAAAGCGUGCGCAGGCGGUUUUGUAAGACUGUCGUGAAAUCCCCGGGCUCAACCUGGGAAUGGCGAUGGUGACUGCAAGGCUAGAGUUUGGCAGAGGGGGGUAGAAUUCCACGUGUAGCAGUGAAAUGCGUAGAUAUGUGGAGGAACACCGAUGGCGAAGGCAGCCCCCUGGGUCAAAACUGACGCUCAUGCACGAAAGCGUGGGGAGCAAACAGGAUUAGAUACCCUGGUAGUCCACGCCCUAAACGAUGUCUACUAGUUGUCGGGUCUUAAUUGACUUGGUAACGCAGCUAAC